UAAUAAUGUAACUUAAUGUAUUAGAGUUGAUUUCAUCGAACAAUUGUAUUGUUAUAAACAGCAUUAGUCACUUCUAACAAACAGGCUAGUUCGGGCGCAAUCGCCUAGUCGGGUCCAAGAUCCCUCUGUUGUUUAAAUCACUUAUACAUACAUUUACUGAUUUACAUACAGUGGUUCUCUGAUUCACUAUGAGUCUAUGGUGCGAUCUGAUUGUGAAUGAAAUGACGAAGUAGUCUGCGAUAUCAGACUGAUUUCAACCGCUCAUCUUGGGGGAGGGGGGCGGCUGGGAUCAGUAUGCUAGCAGACUAUGUGCGAAGGUACGACGAAAUAACUUUCUUUGGUUUAGUAAAUUUAUUUAGUUUCGUUUAGUUUUAUUUUGUCCAGUCUGAGUUUAGUGGUACUGGCUUAAAAUACUGCCUCGUACCCAGGCGCUUUGGUUUGUUUCUUUCUCGGCAUCAAGCGCGCGGGUUA
Molecule: non-coding RNA, 471 nt
Organism: Paramuricea clavata
Lineage: Eukaryota; Metazoa; Cnidaria; Anthozoa; Malacalcyonacea; Plexauridae
Source: the annotation of a GenBank genome assembly